CGGCCCGUAAUAAAAUCAAAUCAAAACAAUAAAAUAAGCCAAACAAAAUUAAUAACAGUCCAAAUGUCCAUUUACAGACCCACCAAGCCCAAAUAACCCAAAAUUACAUCAAACCCAAGACCCGAAAAAUAGCUAAACCUAACCCAAAACCAAAUCGGCCGAAAUGGCCCAACACCAGAAAACCUAAAUUGGAAAUGGAAAAUUCCUAGGGUUUCCAGAGGAUCUAAGCGCCGCAAGCUCUACCCCCG
Molecule: long non-coding RNA, 248 nt
Filed under: Gossypium barbadense (sea-island cotton)
Lineage: Eukaryota; Viridiplantae; Streptophyta; Magnoliopsida; Malvales; Malvaceae
Description: long non-coding RNA (GBAR_LNC016289)
Source: RNAcentral